RNAcentral lists this non-coding RNA (46 nucleotides) under Schistosoma haematobium. The record is from RNAcentral. Lineage: Eukaryota; Metazoa; Platyhelminthes; Trematoda; Strigeidida; Schistosomatidae.
GCGUUGCUGAGGAGUCCCACAACAGGACGAAACGGCCGUCCAGUGC